AGCGAACGCUGGCGGCAGGCUUAAAACAUGCAAGUCGAACGGGCACUUCGGUGCUAGUGGCAGACGGGUGAGUAACGCGUGGGAACGUGCCUUUCGGUUCGGAAUAAUCCAGGGAAACUUGGACUAAUACCGGAUACGCCCUUCGGGGGAAAGAUUUAUAGCCGAAAGAUCGGCCCGCGUCUGAUUAGCUAGUUGGUGAGGUAAAGGCUCACCAAGGCGACGAUCAGUAGCUGGUCUGAGAGGAUGAUCAGCCACAUUGGGACUGAGACACGGCCCAAACUCCUACGGGAGGCAGCAGUGGGGAAUACUGGACAAUGGGCGCAAGCCUGAUCCAGCCAUGCCGCGUGAGUGAUGAAGGCCUUAGGGUUGUAAAGCUCUUUUGUCCGGGAAGAUAAUGACUGUACCGGAGGAAUAAGCCCCGGCUAACUUCGUGCCAGCAGCCGCCGCAG
This 449-nucleotide ribosomal RNA is filed under the name uncultured bacterium. Its description in RNAcentral is "partial 16S ribosomal RNA". It matches the Rfam family "Bacterial small subunit ribosomal RNA", at positions 29 to 523 of the family's 1533-position model. The record is from RNAcentral.